This 468-nucleotide ribosomal RNA is filed under the name uncultured bacterium. Its description in RNAcentral is "partial 16S ribosomal RNA". It matches the Rfam family "Bacterial small subunit ribosomal RNA", at positions 28 to 507 of the family's 1533-position model. The record is from RNAcentral.
GACGAACGCUGGCGGCGUGCUUAACACAUGCAAGUCGAACGGAAAGGCCCUGCUUUUGUGGGGUGCUCGAGUGGCGAACGGGUGAGUAACACGUGAGUAACCUGCCCUUGACUUUGGGAUAACUUCAGGAAACUGGGGCUAAUACCGGAUAGGAGCUCCUGCUCCAUGGUGGGGGUUGGAAAGUUUCGGCGGUUGGGGAUGGACUCGCGGCUUAUCAGCUUGUUGGUGGGGUAGUGGCUUACCAAGGCUUUGACGGGUAGCCGGCAUGAGAGGGUGACCGGCCACAUUGGUACUGAGAGACGGCCCAGACUCCUACGGGAGGCAGCAGGCGGGAAUAUUGCACAGUGGGCGGAAGCCUGAUGCAGCAGCGCCGCGUGCGGGAUGACGGCCUUCGGGUUGUAAACCGCUUUCGCCUGUGACGAAGCGUGAGUGACGGUAAUUGGUAAAGAAGCACCGGCUAACUACGUG